GCUGGAAUGGCCGAGUCGUUAAGGCGAUAGAUUUGAAUUGUCAAUAUCUAUUACUCUCUGAGUGCGUAGGUUCAAAUCCUGCUUCCAGCG
This 90-nucleotide transfer RNA is filed under the name Lentinula edodes (shiitake mushroom). It matches the Rfam family "tRNA". Rfam says of the family: Transfer RNA (tRNA) molecules are approximately 80 nucleotides in length. The record is from Rfam by way of RNAcentral. Lineage: Eukaryota; Fungi; Basidiomycota; Agaricomycetes; Agaricales; Omphalotaceae. RNAcentral also lists the same sequence under 1 other name.